CUCAAACAUGUGAAAGGAAAGAGAAAAGGGAGGCAGAAAAUUUCUUUUUAAGCGUCUAAAAAUAAUAGUAAAUGAAAGGACACCUGGUUAACGGGAGCUUGUACAAUUUUCUCUUUCUUAUACACGAUUCUUGAUCAAAUUUAAAGGUUCAGUUUAGAAUCUGUAUCUCUUACUUUGAAGCUGUUGAAAUUCUAGCAACAUCACCAGCAACAAAACACCAGGGACCUGGACCAGAACAAGCAGGGACCUCAUUUCAGAGUGGACAAGUGUCAUUGGAACUGAGCAGGCUGAAGCUUCAAGAGCAAUACCUUAUGGCAGUGAGAAGCAAUAGCGGUCCUCCGGUUCUGUUUUAGCUUGGCCUGGGAAAGAGACUUUCAAUGCAGUAAGUCCCUGGGGUUGUUGGACAAUGUGAGAGUAGAACUCAAGAGGGAAACACUAGACUGUCUGCUAAAAGAUCAGACCAAAACCCCUAAAUCUGUGGCAAUAUGGCGCCGGGGUCAAAAGUUAUAUUGCAUUUAAUCCAAUGAUCAAAUUAGGAGAAAGGAUAAGUGUUGAGAUAUUAUGUAAAAGCAAUGCUUAAGAUUAUUACUUUCAUCUUACUUUGAUGUUCUACUCAUCAAAUAAACAGUAAGCUAAUUUAGAGACUUCAUAAAGAUGACAUUCACUUUAAGGAAACUGAUAUAUCAAAAAGCAAACUAAAAAACUGUAGUAG
Molecule: long non-coding RNA, 712 nt
Filed under: Equus asinus (donkey)
Lineage: Eukaryota; Metazoa; Chordata; Mammalia; Perissodactyla; Equidae
Description: lncRNA (ENSEASG00005027043.1, ENSEASG00020027073.1)
Source: RNAcentral